This is a non-coding RNA of Marinobacter salinus, 67 nucleotides long. The record is from Rfam. Lineage: Bacteria; Pseudomonadati; Pseudomonadota; Gammaproteobacteria; Pseudomonadales; Marinobacteraceae.
CAUGCGGUGCCCGGCGCCCGAGCUGAUUCCAGCUCCGCGAUCUGGUAGCGGCAUGACCUAAAGAGGU